UGACCGCUAAGAGUUGUAGCGUAUAGGUGAAACUUUCUACGGCCGAUGUAUACUCAAAGUCCCUUUGAUUGGGGCCACAGUCCUGAGAAGGUGCAAGACCUGUACGAGUUGCAUUGUGUUGUAGUCGGUUGCUCCUUGGAGUCGGGUUGCCUGAGAACGCAGCCUGAAUUGGGUGGUAAACUCCAUCUAAGGCUAAAUAGUACUGCGAGUCCGAUAGCAAACAAGUACCGUGAGGGAAAGUUGCAAAGAACUUUGAAGAGAGAGUUCAAGAGUGCGUGAAACCACUGGGAUGGAAACGGAUAGAGUUGACGAAUUGGGCGAUAUUCAGCUGUUUUGCGGUGAGCAAAGUGGUGUACUUAUCGUCUGUGUGCGCUGAGAGUCUUGGUUGAACAUUCUAAACCGUCGUAGUAUGUUGCCCGUCGUCUCACGGCGAUGGUGUCUUGCGCGUGCGAUGUGGGAUGUUUCGAUUAAGUAUUUUCGGUGUGAAAGUCGACCACCUAUCCGACCCGUCUUGAAACACGGACCAAGGAGUCUAGCGUAUGUGCGAGUCAUUGGGUGGUAAACCUAUUGGCGUAACGAAAGUAAAGGUCGUUUCUUGCGGCUGAUAUGGGAUCCGUACGGUUUCGAUCGUGCGGCGCACCAUAGCCCUGUCUCGAAGGCUUGCCUUGAGAUGGAGGUAGAGCGCAUGCGCUAGGACCCGAAAGAUGGUGAACUAUACGUGAGCAGGAUGAAGCCGGAGGAAACUCUGGUGGAAGUCCGUAACGGUUCUGACGUGCAAAUCGAUCGUCUGACUUGCGUAUAGGGGCG
Molecule: ribosomal RNA, 807 nt
Filed under: Rhabdias sp. 2 AM-2022
Lineage: Eukaryota; Metazoa; Nematoda; Chromadorea; Rhabditida; Rhabdiasidae
Description: partial 28S ribosomal RNA
Rfam family: Eukaryotic large subunit ribosomal RNA
Source: RNAcentral